CUACCCUAGAGCCAUGCUCUGUGAUGGGCCCCGUCCUCGCGGACGGGCCCGAAACCCGUGGGCGCCGUCGUCCGGCCCUGAGCGUAGCAAGAGAAAUCCCUCGCUCGGAGUGUCUGAUGGUGGUUGCCCUGACCUAUUUUAUAA
This 144-nucleotide unclassified non-coding RNA is filed under the name uncultured Ascomycota. RNAcentral describes it as "sequence contains ITS2". The record is from RNAcentral. Lineage: Eukaryota; Fungi; Ascomycota.